Molecule: long non-coding RNA, 521 nt
Filed under: Phoenix dactylifera (date palm)
Lineage: Eukaryota; Viridiplantae; Streptophyta; Magnoliopsida; Arecales; Arecaceae
Description: long non-coding RNA (PDAC_LNC021298)
Source: RNAcentral
AGCGUCCGAGCCGCAUCAAAAUUCUAACUUUCUUCCCCAUCGAGUGAGCCCAAGCAUUCAAGUCCAGCCGGUCCAUGCGAUCACGGGAGACCCCAGCCCAUUCCAAGCUUGACGCGAUGAAGCCAUCCACAGCGCAUCCAGCUUCCACGCCAUCAACGCGAUCUAUGCAGCGUCCCAGAUUUCCUUCGAUCCCAGGCGCCCGUUCGAAUGCAGCCCAGCACUCCAUCCGCCCGUGAAGCCAGCCCCUCUCCCGUGAUCCAAGCCUCCCACGGCCGCUCGUCCCAGCUCCAUCCCGGCUCCUCCGCCGCCCAGCAGCCCGAGUAUGCCGCCAUCAGCAGCCGUCCCCGCCUUCCACGCAAUCGUCCAUCGCGUUCGCUGGCAAAGCCGCGUCCCAGCUGCAAGGCAUCUCCAAAUCCUCCGCAAUCCCAGCCUCCCAGCAUCCGUUUCUCCUCCCAACGGUCUCACAGCGCCCCUCGUCCGUAUUCAUCCGCAUCAUCUCUCUUCCACGAUUCCCUCCUUCC